Syngnathus acus (greater pipefish) is the source of this 886-nucleotide long non-coding RNA. RefSeq lists it as uncharacterized. Lineage: Eukaryota; Metazoa; Chordata; Actinopteri; Syngnathiformes; Syngnathidae. The transcript has 3 exons. The record is from RefSeq and is a predicted model, not a curated record.
CCGACAAGUCAUCCACUUAUGUUUGCACAGUCACACACUCUAAACUUGCAAAAAAAAAAUUUUUCACUUUAAUCACUGUAAGAAUGUUAACGCGUUAACUAGCUAUUAUUGCAGUCAAGGAGAAGCUGUGACUCGCUGUCAAGGAAAUCAGCUGUUCCAUUCAAUCUGUCGCCUCAGCUCAACCUCGACACUCUUUUGAAGGUCAGCCUCCACUUCAAAAUGGACGCCGCAGAUAGUCAAACCACGUGAGGCCUCCCAGCCAGCCAAGACUGAUAAAUAUUACAAUCCUAAAAUAAGCCCGUAACAUAAGAUCAUCUUCUUGAAUGCGUUGAGAAUGUUGGACUGUUUACCUGCUUUAGUAGGUGCUGCUGUUUUGGUUAGCAACAGAAUUCAAGUGGGCUCAGCCAUGGGUAAAAAGUUAGUCCUUUCUACAUCGCGUGAGUCAUCUGCAGAGAAGCUUUUAUGUUUUUUUGUUGUUGUUGUUGUUGAAUGUUUUGGGUUUUAUUUCCAGCUCAACAAGCUUCUGCAAAGCUAAUGAAGCCUCACCGCCGCCCCCACGCAACCGCCACUCAUGUCUCUGCAUUAUUUCCACAACUAAAAAAGCUACCGUGUCUGCCUACGCCCCAGCGAGCUGCAAACACACACGCAGACGAUGGGAAGUUUGGAAGGGUCAAAGGGGUCUACGCAAAACAUCUGCUAAACCGGCCCGCCCCCGCACCGUGUCACUAACUCGCCACCGAGCCUCCAUGCGGGUAAACAAACAUGGCGGGAACCUAAUUGAAUUACUUCCGUCCGUCAACAACCAUGUGGCUCACGACUCGGACAUGUUUGCUACCACAGAGGAGGCAAAAGUCGGCGUGCCGUGUCGAGAUUUCAGUUCACAGAG